GGUUGGAUGGUGUAAAGGUAGCACACAAGAUUCUGAUUCUUGUAAUCGGGGUUCGAUUCCCCGUCUGACCU
This is a non-coding RNA of Terfezia claveryi, 71 nucleotides long. NCBI's taxonomy places the organism in Eukaryota, Fungi, Ascomycota, Pezizomycetes, Pezizales, Pezizaceae. The record is from the annotation of a GenBank genome assembly.